UCUCAGGUGUAUCUGUAGUCUCAGGUGUACCCGUAGUCUCAGGUAUAGUUGUUGUCUCAGGUGUAGUUGUUGUCUCAGGUGUAUCUGUAGUCUCAGGUGUAGUUGUUGUCUCAGGUGUAGUUGUUGUUGUUUCAGGUGUGUGUCUGCAGACUGUUUCUCUGCCGGUGACAAAGACCACUUCCUGUUGUUUUGGGGGUCCGGACUUCUCCGACCUCUACGUGACCUCAGCCAGUCUUGGCCUGGACCAAUCAGAGCGGAGGAAGCAGCCGCUGGCCGGGGGGGUCUUCAGGGUCUCAGGACUUGGGGUCAAAGGUCGUCCCUCAGUCUCGUUCUCUGGAUAAACCUCAGCUGUACGACGUUGUCUCAAAUCACUGACUCACAUCACAUGAUGAUUAACUGUGAUCAAUAUACGGAGGCAGCCAAUCAGAGAGGAGGACACUGUGACAGCCAUUCAGACUGGAGAAAUUAUACCUAUUUUAUGUAACUUUGUAUAAUAAUGAAGAUAAUGAUCUGCAGCUGAGGAUUAUGGGUAAUGUAGUGAAUGUAACCACACCAAUGAUAAAUCAGUUUGAAAUAAAGAGAGCGUCUCGUA
Notothenia coriiceps (black rockcod) is the source of this 592-nucleotide long non-coding RNA. RefSeq lists it as uncharacterized. The transcript is spliced from 2 exons. NCBI's taxonomy places the organism in Eukaryota, Metazoa, Chordata, Actinopteri, Perciformes, Nototheniidae. The record is from RefSeq and is a predicted model, not a curated record.